CCCUUUCCAACCAACCCCACACUGCCUCCCCCUGCCUGUAGAAUUAAUCACUCCCUUUUCUAUGAACCCACAGAAUUUUGCAUAUACAUGCUUCUUUCUCUCUUACCAUGGUAUCAAGUAAGAUGUGCAGACCACUCUCUCUCACAAACCUGUGAGCCCUUCUGGGGCAGAGGUUAACGCUUAUUCGUAUACAAACCACCAGUAUCCAGGAUAGUGCCUGCUACAGAAGAGGUUCCGACAAAAUGAUGUUGGUAGCCAUGUGCAUUGGGGUUAAGAGGGGCUUUGGAAUCAAAGAGACCAAGUUUGGUACCUAGAAAAUACCAUUCGUUAGCUCCAGGACUUGCAGAAGGUUAUGCAGUAUCUCUGUGGUAGGUAGAGUACUAGCUCCUUCCCCCCAAACAUGUUCAUGUCUUACCCUUGGACCCUAGGGACCUGUAAGGGAAAUUCGGAUUGCAGAUGAAAUUAAGGUUGCUAAUCAGUUGAACUUAAAAUAGGGAGAAUAGUUCAGAUUACCCAGGUGGGCCCAAUACAAUCACAAAGGUCCUUAAAAGUGAAAGGCUGAGGCAGAAAAGGGGUCCAUGUGAUGCAACAUGAGAAUGACUCAACCCAACUUUGCUGGUUUUGAAGCUGGAGGGAGGUCAAAGCAAGGACUGUGGGCAGCUUCUAGAAAACUAGGAAAGACAUGGAAAUAGAGUCUCCCCUAAAGCCUCCGGAAAAACAUGCAGCACUGCAAACGCCUAGGUGCAAAUCAAAAAUUAUGUGUUACAUGACUUGAGAAGGCUUAAAAAGUAGAAAAGUUCUGAUUCUUUCUCUGGAGCACUAGGCCUCAAUGAGUUACUUUUCCAUGAAGAAUGUCUAGAAAAACUCAAUAAUUCUCAGUUUACCCUCCUGCAAGAGAUAUAUAUAUAUAUCUUUUGUUUUUAGUAAAAGAGAGUCCAUUUCUGAAAUCCUGAUAUAACAUAUUAAAUAUAUAUAUAUAUUUAAUAUAUAUAUCUUUUGUUUUUAGUAAAUGAGAGUCCAUUUAUAUCUAUAUAUUUAUAUCUAUAUAUAUCUUUUAUUUUUAGUAAAAGAGAGUCCAUUUCUGAAAUCCUGAUAUAACAUAUUAAAUAUAUGUUUUUAAUGAAUAAAUAUUUUUAAUAAAAAUGUAUAUUUAGUGAACAGAUAUAUCACCAACAAUGCCACCACCCAGAGUAAUCAUACUUGACGUUUUGGAGACUAUAAUUUUAGGGGUGUGCAUGUGUAUGUGUUUGUGUGUGCGUGUGUAUCUGGGCAUCUACAAACAUGGCAUAAAAUCUUAAAAUCUUUACAAGUUUUCCUCAUCAGGCACAUAACACAAACAGUCUUGCCAUUUAUUUUUCUUCUUUGACACCCCUCAGAAAAAAUUUGGAGUCUUUAGAAAGGUCUAACACAUUUCUAAUUAUAUUUAGUCUUCAAAAUUUUAUGUUUGUGUAGCUACUGUGAAGCUUUUCUAUUGCAUGUUCUAAGAGGUUAUUGAGGAUGUGGCUAUAUUUUUUCAUUAUGUAUACUAAAAUUAUCUUUCUGUACUCUCUUAGUUCUAAUAUUUUUUUUCAAUAAAUUCCCAGAUAUUUUCCAAAGAAGCAAUUAUGUUUUCUAAAAAUAAUGGUAGGAGUUCCCAUUGUGGCACAGCGGAAACGAAUCUAACUAGGAACCAUGAGGUUGCAGGUUUGAUCUCUGGCCUCCCUCAGUGGGUUAAGGAUCUGGCAUUGCUGCCAGCUGUGGUGUAGGUCAUCCUUAACCCACUGAGCAAGGCCAGGGAUAGAACCUGCGUCCUCAUGGUUACUAGCUGGGCUCGUUACCACUGCGCCACAAUGGGAAUUCUUUUUUAUUUAUUUUAAACAUUUCUUUUUUAAUAAUAAAAGCAUCAAAUGCUAUGAAUUUCCUCUGAGUACAGUUUUCACCAGAAUGUGGUGUAGUUAUCAUUAGUAUUUCCUAAGUAGUUUAUAAUUGCACUUUGGAUUUAGUCUUUGAUCCCAGAGCUAUUUAGGAGAAAUAUUUUAUGAGUUUUCCCCCAAACUCAAAAGCUUGAUCAUUUUUUUCUGUUUAUUUAUUUAUUUUUUAAAAAUUUCUAAAUUUGCUGGCUCUAUCACCAGCAUCUACCAU
RNAcentral lists this long non-coding RNA (2121 nucleotides) under Sus scrofa (pig). Its description in RNAcentral is "lncRNA (ENSSSCG00040050153.1)". The record is from RNAcentral. Lineage: Eukaryota; Metazoa; Chordata; Mammalia; Artiodactyla; Suidae.